This 492-nucleotide ribosomal RNA is filed under the name uncultured bacterium. RNAcentral's name for it is "partial 16S ribosomal RNA". It matches the Rfam family "Bacterial small subunit ribosomal RNA", at positions 29 to 507 of the family's 1533-position model. The record is from RNAcentral.
AGUGAACGCUGGCGGCAGGCCUAACACAUGCAAGUCGAACGGCAGCACAGUAAGAGCUUGCUCUUACGGGUGGCGAGUGGCGGACGGGUGAGGAAUAGAUCGGAAUCUACUUUUUCGUGGGGGAUAACGUAGGGCAACUUACGCUAAUACCGCAUACGAUCUACGGGUUAGAGCAGUGGAUCUUCGGACCUUGCGCGACUGAAUGAGCUGAUGUCGGAUUAGCUAGUUGGCAGGGUAAAGGCCCACCAAGGCGACGAUCCGUAGCUGAUCUGAGAGGAUGAUCAGCCACACUGGAACUGAGACACGGUCCAGACUCCUACGGGAGGCAGCAGUAGGGAAUCUUGGGCAAUGGGCGAAAGCCUGAUCCAGCCAUACCGCGUGAGUGAAGAAGGCCUUCGGGUUGUAAAGCCCUGUUGUUGGGAAAGAAAAACAGCAGGUUAAUCCACCGCUGUUCUGACGGUACCCAAACAAUAAGCACCGGCUAACUUCGUG